Molecule: ribosomal RNA, 462 nt
Filed under: uncultured bacterium
Lineage: Bacteria
Description: partial 16S ribosomal RNA
Rfam family: Bacterial small subunit ribosomal RNA
Source: RNAcentral
GACGAACGCUGGCGGCGUGCUUAACACAUGCAAGUCGAACGGAAAGGCCCUUCGGGGUACUCGAGUGGCGAACGGGUGAGUAACACGUGGGUGAUCUGCCCUGCACUUUGGGAUAAGCCUGGGAAACUGGGUCUAAUACCGAAUAGGACCACGCGCUUCAUGGUGUGUGGUGGAAAGCUAUUGCGGUGUGGGAUGGGUCCGGGGCCUAUCAGCUUGUUGGUGGGGUAAUGGCCUACCAAGGCGACGACGGGUAGCCGGCCUGAGAGGGUGACCGGCCACACUGGGACUGAGAUACGGCCCAGACUCCUACGGGAGGCAGCAGUGGGGAAUAUUGCACAAUGGGCGCAAGCCUGAUGCAGCGACGCCGCGUGAGGGAUGACGGCCUUCGGGUUGUAAACCUCUUUCAAUAGGGACGAAGCGCAAGUGACGGUACCUAUAGAAGAAGCACCGGCCAACUACGUG